AUUGAACGCUGGCGGCAUGCUUGACACAUGCAAGUCGAACGGCAGCACAGUACGUAGCAAUACGUAUGGGUGGCGAGUGGCGGACGGGUGAGUAACGCGUAGGAAUCUGCCUUGAAGCGGGGGACAACCCGAGGAAACUCGGGCUAAUACCGCAUAAUAUCGAGAGAUUAAAGCUGGGGCAACCUGGCACUUCAAGAGGAGCCUGCGUACGAUUAGCUAGUUGGUAGGGUAAAGGCCUACCAAGGCGAUGAUCGUUAACUGGUCUGAGAGGAUGAUCAGUCACACUGGAACUGAGACACGGUCCAGACUCCUACGGGAGGCAGCAGUGGGGAAUAUUGGACAAUGGGGGCAACCCUGAUCCAGCAAUGCCGCGUGUGUGAAGAAGGCCUUCGGGUUGUAAAGCACUUUUGGCAGGGAGGAAGAUGUGGAGUUUAAGAGACACUACAUUUGACUGUACCUGCAGAAUAAGCACCGGCUAACUCUGUGCCAGCAGCCGCUGUAA
This 502-nucleotide ribosomal RNA is filed under the name uncultured bacterium. Its description in RNAcentral is "partial 16S ribosomal RNA". It matches the Rfam family "Bacterial small subunit ribosomal RNA", at positions 30 to 523 of the family's 1533-position model. The record is from RNAcentral.